CCUACGGGUGGCAGCAGUGAGGAAUAUUGGUCAAUGGCCGAAAGGCUGAACCAGCCAAGUCGCGUGAGGGAAGACGGCCCUACGGGUUGUAAACCUCGUUUGUCGGGGAGCAAAGCGAGUCACGUGUGACGCAGUGAGAGUACCCGAAGAAAAAGCAUCGGCUAACUCCGUGCCAGCAGCCGCGGUAAUACGGAGGAGGCGAGCGUUAUCCGGAUUGAUUGGGGUAAAGGGGUGCGCAGGGGGAGGUGCAAGUCAGCGGUAAAAUCGCGGGGCUCAACCCCGUACUGCCGUUGAAACUGCAUCACUUGAGUGCGCGAGAGGUAUGCGGAAUGCGUGGUGUAGCGGUGAAAUGCAUAGAUAUCACGCAGAACUCCGAUUGCGAAGGCAGCAUACCGGCGCGCAACUGACGCUCAUGCACGAAAGCGUGGGUAUCGAACAGGAUUAGAUACCCUUGUAGUC
This 459-nucleotide ribosomal RNA is filed under the name uncultured bacterium. RNAcentral's name for it is "partial 16S ribosomal RNA". It matches the Rfam family "Bacterial small subunit ribosomal RNA", at positions 338 to 795 of the family's 1533-position model. The record is from RNAcentral.